CCCAAUCUCCCUCUGGCCGCUUCUCGGUUAAAUCCUUGUAUAGCAAACUUAUUGAGGGAUCCAUCACCUCCAAAUUUAAGUGGAUAUGGAAAGCUCGCAUCCCCCCUAAGAUUAAAGUGUUUCUCUGGCAAGCCUCUCGCGGGCGUCUACCUACGGGUGACCAAAUCCGUAAACGUAAUGGUCCGGGUUCUGACUGUUGUGUUCUAUGUGGGACGAGAGAAGAUACACCUCAUAUUUUUUUUAACUGCGUCCUGGCUAAGCUGUUUUGGUGUUGUAUCAGAUCAUGGUUGCAUGUCUCCUGGGCUCCGACCUCCUUUGCGGACUUACGAGCCUUGGCUAAUUCUUUGGUUGGGGCCCAGAGGAGAUUGUUUUGGGUUGGCUUUGCUGCCAUGUGUUGGUCUUUAUGGACGACAAGGAAUAAAUUUACUAUCGAACAUGUCUUUCCUGCUAAGCCUGCUGAUUGAUUAUUUAAGACUUGUAUAUUCCUGCAGCAGUGGAGUUUAUUGACUAAGAAGGAGGACAGGGAUGCAUUUGACGCCAUGUUGGCCAAGAUCCGAAAGUCUCCUAUCUCCAUCCUUCCAAACCAAGCGGGCCCGUAGACGUCGUUGUGUUGCUACGUUUUCUUAUCCUCUUCCGGCCUGCGUGCCGUGUACUGGCCUAGGAGCCAUGUACUUAGACUUCCUUCUUCGUGUUCUGGCUUGAUACUUUGGCAUUUGUGUGCUGGUUGUCUGGGUCCUUGUUAACUCUGCCUGGUGGCUUUAUCUAUAAACUCGGGCUAUGGCCUUUUCUCUAAAAAGCAUCGCCGGCGGCCGCUUCCAGCAAAAGAAUGCUAGGGGUUGUUGCUUCACGCCUAGACAGUUGUAGCAUCCUCGCUGCCGCUCGCAGCUCCCCGCACUGCCGGUUCCAGCAUCUCCGGCGACCGGUUGUACCAUCCCCAUCUGCCGCUCGAAGCUCCUCGCACAGCCAGUUCCACAUGGCCGACGGACGGUUGUAGCAAAGAGCGACUCCGGUUGUAGCAAAAGGCGACGUGGUUGUAGCAAAAAUGCGACGCCGGUGAUCGUGGUUGUAUCUUCCCAGUCAUGGUUGUAGCCACCGCCAGCCACAAACGCCGAUUGUAGCAAAAUUCCUCGCCGGUGGAAGCAAAAUCCGACGAUGGAUGCAGCAAAACUUCGUCACCGCCAUCGCAAUUGCAGCUUCACCAUGAAAUCAUCAUAUCAAAAAUUCUUGCCGGUCGUAGCAAAAUCUGGCAAUGGAUGUAGCAAAAUUCCGUCACCGCCGUCGCUGUUGUAGCUCCGCCAUGAAAUUCUUGUAGCAAAAUUUUUUGUUAGUAGUAGCAAAAUUGGACGACGGUUGUAGCAAAAAUCAUAACGACACGUACCUCACUCUUCGCUGACCCCGCCAGUUGAAACAUCUCCGGCCGGCUGCUCCCCAGCCACGGGCCCUAUUCGUCUUCCUUGCAAUAAGGCGCUUCCCCCUUGUAGCGUGGGCAGGAAAGGGGGUAACCAGCUACAGAGCUCCCACGCCUGGCCCCAGGCUCGCGGUGUCUCCCAGCCGGAGCAGCAGCAGAUGGCCGCGCCGUCAGCAGAGACAUGGACGAGCUCGUUGUGCGAUGUUGAGAAAUUUAAUGGGGAGAAGAGAAAAGAGAUGGACAGAGAAGGAUGAGUGGAGGACGGAUGCACCGUGUAAAGAGAUAAGGGAUGGGUGUUUCCUUCAGGCCCCACCUACGCAC
Molecule: long non-coding RNA, 1729 nt
Filed under: Triticum aestivum (bread wheat)
Lineage: Eukaryota; Viridiplantae; Streptophyta; Magnoliopsida; Poales; Poaceae
Description: long non-coding RNA (TAES_LNC022045)
Source: RNAcentral